AAACUGGAGAUGGCGACCGGCGCACGGGUGAGUAACACGUAUCCAACCUGCCGAUAACUCGGGGAUAGCCUUUCGAAAGAAAGAUUAAUACCCGAUGGCAUAAUAGAACCGCAUGGUUUGAUUAUUAAAGAAUUUCGGUUAUCGAUGGGGAUGCGUUCCAUUAGGUUGUUGGCGGGGUAACGGCCCACCAAGCCUUCGAUGGAUAGGGGUUCUGAGAGGAAGGUCCCCCACAUUGGAACUGAGACACGGUCCAAACUCCUACGGGAGGCAGCAUG
RNAcentral lists this ribosomal RNA (275 nucleotides) under uncultured bacterium. RNAcentral describes it as "partial 16S ribosomal RNA". It matches the Rfam family "Bacterial small subunit ribosomal RNA", at positions 79 to 353 of the family's 1533-position model. The record is from RNAcentral.